CAGUGACUGUGGCUGACUAUAUCUCACGAGCAGAGUCUCAGAGCCGCCAGAGGCCACCCCUGGAACGCACUAAACCCUCAGAAGACUCUCUUUCAGGACAGAAGAGGCAGCUGUGUCUGAUGGAGUUUAGACCAGUGUAAACUUUGAAUAGGAUAGAGAAGAAAGUGUGGUUCACAUUUUCUGGAUCCCAAGGUGACUCUGUCAGCAAGCUUCCUAAGGGCCCCUCGGAGAAUGGGGAGCUCUCCGCCCCCUUGGAGUUGGGUAGUAUGGUGAAUGGGGUUUCAUAAAACCUCCAACCUGCACCCCUCCCUUCUCCAUCUCGCUUGCUGCCCAACACCAUGGCCCUCACAGGCCCAACUGACCUGCGCUGGAGCUGCUCUUAUCUAGGGGGGAGGGGGGUGGCACAGCAGCUUGGGUACCCCCCAACCUCCAGGAGCUAGUGGAGGGGUGUGUAACAGGGUCAUACCCCCUCCCUCUUGUCCACCCUACCCCCAGGGUAAGGGGAGCCUCUCUCCUUCCCCAUCAGACUGGAUGUGCCUUUAUCCUCUAAUGCCCCAAUCUCUCUCUGAACACCCCCAUUCUCCACCUGUUGGUGGGGGGUGCUCCUCGACCCACCCAGAUUUGACCGUUCAGGGGGCCUCCCCUGCUAUCCCUCCUCCCAUCCUGUACCCCCCA
This 675-nucleotide long non-coding RNA is filed under the name Homo sapiens (human). Its description in RNAcentral is "non-protein coding lnc-SOX15-2:1". The record is from RNAcentral. Lineage: Eukaryota; Metazoa; Chordata; Mammalia; Primates; Hominidae.